GUCCCUGUAGCUUAAAUCAAAGCAUGGCACUGAAGAUGCCAAGAUGGGACACCACCCCAAGGAC
This 64-nucleotide transfer RNA is filed under the name Psittacula eupatria (Alexandrine parakeet). RNAcentral's name for it is "tRNA-Phe". It matches the Rfam family "tRNA". Rfam says of the family: Transfer RNA (tRNA) molecules are approximately 80 nucleotides in length. Their secondary structure includes four short double-helical elements and three loops (D, anti-codon, and T loops). Further hydrogen bonds mediate the characteristic L-shaped molecular structure. tRNAs have two regions of fundamental functional importance: the anti-codon, which is responsible for specific mRNA codon recognition, and the 3' end, to which the tRNAs corresponding amino acid is attached (by aminoacyl-tRNA synthetases). tRNAs cope with the degeneracy of the genetic code in two manners: having more than one tRNA (with a specific anti-codon) for a particular amino acid; and 'wobble' base-pairing, i.e. permitting non-standard base-pairing at the 3rd anti-codon position. The record is from RNAcentral. Lineage: Eukaryota; Metazoa; Chordata; Aves; Psittaciformes; Psittacidae.